Small nuclear RNA from Bos taurus (domestic cattle), 164 nucleotides. Its record names the gene U1. It matches the Rfam family "U1 spliceosomal RNA". From Rfam's summary of the family: U1 is a small nuclear RNA (snRNA) component of the spliceosome (involved in pre-mRNA splicing). Its 5' end forms complementary base pairs with the 5' splice junction, thus defining the 5' donor site of an intron. There are significant differences in sequence and secondary structure between metazoan and yeast U1 snRNAs, the latter being much longer (568 nucleotides as compared to 164 nucleotides in human). NCBI's taxonomy places the organism in Eukaryota, Metazoa, Chordata, Mammalia, Artiodactyla, Bovidae. The record is from Ensembl.
AUACUUACCUGGCAGGGGAGAUACCAUGAUCACCAAGGUGGUUUUCCCAGGGCAAGGCUUAUCCAUUGCACUCCGGAUGUGCUGACCCCUGCGAUUUCCCCAAAUGUGGGAAACUCGACUGCAUAAUUUGUGGUAGUGGGGGACUGCGUUCGCGCUUUCCCCUA